UAACACUUUAAAACAUGUAAACUUCAAUUUACUAUUGCAGCAAUAGUGUGCUGCCUAUUUUGCCCCUAACUUUCAACCUUAAUUACUGAAUUUUGCCAUAAUGUUGGAUGAUGCCACAUGUUCCAUCAACCAUCUGCCUUCUUUGUUCCUCUUUGUUUCCCCUUUCCUUUUCCUCGACACUGGGAUCUUCAUCCCCUUCCAUUUUCAAAAAACCCUAGCUCUCCUCUCUACAAUCUCCUCCGCCCCUUCACACAUCUCCUUCCAUCACCCUAGAUUUUAAGAUCGUCAAUGUUCGUUCUUCUUCAAGAGGAUGUUGUUUUAUGGUGAUAGAAGGCCACGUUCGAGGAUUCUGAGAAGGAGUACAACAUUGAUACAUCGGAAGGAUAUUAGAGGGAGCGCUGGGUUCUCACUGAAGAAGGAAGAAUCUAUGCUACUGCAGGCUCUCCUGAAGUGCAAGUAUACUCGGCUAUACCACAAGAGGGUAUCUCGCCAGAUGAACUUGAGGUUGUCGGUUUCUGCUUGCUGUAGAUAUGGUUUGCUUUAUUCCCCGCUUCAAUUACUUGUAUUCAAUUUUGUAUAAUGAAUUUUAGGGAUUCAAUUUUGUUUGCUUUAUUUAUCACGAACUGGUUUGCUUUGUUAGAAUCAGGACUGAUUUUCUCACAAUAUAACUCAUUUCAUAUUCUCAUUUAGCCUUAUGUUUGUACGAUAUUCUUUAAUUUUCCUGAAGUUUGAGCUUCGCUUCGUUAAUUUUAGCUUAGGAUUUCUGAUGAUUUUUUCAUGUUUAAUUGGAAUCGUUUGUGCACUUGAAAUCGUCUUUGUGAUGUUAUUGUGUUGCAUUUUUGUCAUCAGUUUAUGUUGUGGUGAAGAAAUAGUUCGAUGACUGUAAAAAUCUAUGUUGAUUUAUAGAAUUCGGUGAUUUACUCACAAGAUGAUUUGUAAAAGUCUAUAUUGAUUUAUGGAAUCAGGAGAUUUACCCACGAGAUUAUCUCAUAUCAUUUAGCCUUUCAAAAUUCAAAUCAUCAUUUAAAAGGAGGGAGAUAGUGGAGAUGGGGGGAGAGAGUGUAAAUAGUAAGACUCAGAGAUAACUAUAAGAGAUAGAGAGAUACAUAGACAGAGAGAUAAGUACAUUGCCGCCUUUGCUGACAAAAAAAUCUUGAAACUAAGGAACUGUAGUUAAUUGUACUAUUUAUAUCUGAACUUGUUAUUCCUUUGUCUAAAUCAAUGCUUCUUAAGUUGCAGGUUCUUUCUUCAAUUGCAUAUUAUCAGAAAAUAUUCAAAUAGCAGCUGUUUGACAGAAUCCUGAUCAUAUAGCAGGCUCAGGGUGUGCUGUGAAGAUUUGGUGGAGAUCCACAACUUAAGUCAAUGAUACACUGGGUUUCAGCAUCUCAGGCUACCUUUAAACAUAUCAAUUAUAGGUGUGGGUUUCCUGUUGCGAAAAAGACUUAUUUGAUCAACUAUACUAUCGUCUUCAUGGUGGUUCUCUCGUAUAAUGUCGUCUUCAUGGUGGUUCUCUUAUAACGGCUGCUACGUCAGGAAAACUAGAACAUUUUAAUGGCGUUUUCAUGGUGGUUCUCUCGUAUACGAUCUUCUUUCCAAACGAUCUUGGAACAUCCCAUUUUCAAAGGUACACCAGUUUCAUAAACCCAAUUUCUAUUGUGGUCUUCUUAGCUUCACUUAAGCUGCAAUUUCAAUAAAUUUUUUUUGGAUAGUGAUAGGAAGCUUUAAUUUUGCUUCUGGGAUCGUUCAGUAUCAUUUGUUGUUUUCAAUUUUCUGUUUUUUACAAAUUAUGAAAACUUUUCAGCUUUUUGUUGUCAGUUUUCAAAGUCAGCCUGAUUACUGUAGGUAUGACUAUUAUUUGGUUCAUGAUUCAAACUAUUUGGGUUUGGUUGUUUAGUUUGCAAUCAGAAUGGGUUGGUCUGUAAUUAAAAGUCAUAUUUUAAUGGAGGUUUCGUUUAUUGAA
This is a long non-coding RNA of Spinacia oleracea (spinach), 1960 nucleotides long. RefSeq lists it as uncharacterized. NCBI's taxonomy places the organism in Eukaryota, Viridiplantae, Streptophyta, Magnoliopsida, Caryophyllales, Amaranthaceae. The transcript is spliced from 4 exons. The record is from RefSeq and is a predicted model, not a curated record.